UACGGAGGGGGCUAGCGUUGUUCGGAAUUACUGGGCGUAAAGGGCGCGUAGGCGGCUCUUCAAGUCAGACGUGAAAGGCCUGGGCUCAACCCGGGAACUGCGUUUGAGACUGGGGAGCUCGAGUCCGGGAGAGGUGAGCGGAAUUCCCAGUGUAGAGGUGAAAUUCGUAGAUAUUGGGAAGAACACCAGUGGCGAAGGCGGCUCACUGGACCGGUACUGACGCUGAGGCGCGAAAGCGUGGGGAGCAAACAGG
This 253-nucleotide ribosomal RNA is filed under the name uncultured prokaryote. RNAcentral's name for it is "partial 16S ribosomal RNA". It matches the Rfam family "Bacterial small subunit ribosomal RNA", at positions 524 to 776 of the family's 1533-position model. The record is from RNAcentral.